AUUGAACGCUGGCGGCAGGCUUAACACAUGCAAGUCGAACGGUAACAGGAAGCAGCUUGCUGCUUCGCUGACGAGUGGCGGACGGGUGAGUAAUGUCUGGGAAGCUGCCUGAUGGAGGGGGAUAACUACUGGAAACGGUAGCUAAUACCGCAUAAUGUCGCAAGACCAAAGAGGGGGACCUUCGGGCCUCUUGCCAUCGGAUGUGCCCAGAUGGGAUUAGCUUGUUGGUGGGGUAACGGCUCACCAAGGCGACGAUCCCUAGCUGGUCUGAGAGGAUGACCAGCCACACUGGAACUGAGACACGGUCCAGACUCCUACGGGAGGCAGCAGUGGGGAAUAUUGCACAAAGGGCGCAAGCCUGAUGCAGCCAUGCCGCGUGUAUGAAGAAGGCCUUCGGGUUGUAAAGUACUUUCAGCGGGGAGGAAGGGAGUAAAGUUAAUACCUUUGCUCAUUGACGUUACCCGCAGAAGAAGCACCGGCUAACUCCGUG
Molecule: ribosomal RNA, 490 nt
Filed under: uncultured bacterium
Lineage: Bacteria
Description: partial 16S ribosomal RNA
Rfam family: Bacterial small subunit ribosomal RNA
Source: RNAcentral